This 336-nucleotide unclassified non-coding RNA is filed under the name soil metagenome. Its description in RNAcentral is "partial contains 5.8S ribosomal RNA, internal transcribed spacer 2, and large subunit ribosomal RNA". The stretch from base 1 to 120 matches the Rfam family "5.8S ribosomal RNA", at positions 35 to 154 of the family's 154-position model. The record is from RNAcentral.
GAUGAAGAACGUAGCGAAAUGCGAUAAGUAAUGUGAAUUGCAGAAUUCAGUGAAUCAUCGAAUCUUUGAACGCACAUUGCGCCCGCCAGUAUUCUGGCGGGCAUGCCUGUUCGAGCGUCAUUUCAACCAUCAAGCCCCAGGCUUGUGUUGGGGACCUGCGGCUGCCGCAGGCCCUGAAAACCAGUGGCGGGCUCGCUGUCACACCGGGCGUAGUAGAUUUUAUCUCGCUCAGGGCGUGCUGCGGGUUCCGGCCGUUAAAAAGCCUUUUUUACCCAAGGUUGACCUCGGAUCAGGUAGGAAUACCCGCUGAACUUAAGCAUAUCAAUAAGCAGAGGA